RNAcentral lists this ribosomal RNA (579 nucleotides) under Trichoderma longibrachiatum. RNAcentral's name for it is "eukaryotic LSU rRNA". The stretch from base 217 to 370 matches the Rfam family "5.8S ribosomal RNA". Lineage: Eukaryota; Fungi; Ascomycota; Sordariomycetes; Hypocreales; Hypocreaceae. The record is from RNAcentral.
GAGUUACACUCCCAACCCCAAUGUGAACGUUACCAAUCUGUUGCCUCGGCGGGAUUCUCUGCCCCGGGCGCGUCGCAGCCCCGGAUCCCAUGGCGCCCGCCGGAGGACCAACUCAAACUCUUUUUUCUCUCCGUCGCGGCUUCCGUCGCGGCUCUGUUUUACCUUUGCUCUGAGCCUUUCUCGGCGACCCUAGCGGGCGUCUCGAAAAUGAAUCAAAACUUUCAACAACGGAUCUCUUGGUUCUGGCAUCGAUGAAGAACGCAGCGAAAUGCGAUAAGUAAUGUGAAUUGCAGAAUUCAGUGAAUCAUCGAAUCUUUGAACGCACAUUGCGCCCGCCAGUAUUCUGGCGGGCAUGCCUGUCCGAGCGUCAUUUCAACCCUCGAACCCCUCCGGGGGGUCGGCGUUGGGGAUCGGCCCCUCACCGGGCCGCCCCCGAAAUACAGUGGCGGUCUCGCCGCAGCCUCUCCUGCGCAGUAGUUUGCACACUCGCACCGGGAGCGCGGCGCGGCCACAGCCGUAAAACACCCCAAACUCUGAAAUGUUGACCUCGGAUCAGGUAGGAAUACCCGCUGAACUUAA